RNAcentral lists this transfer RNA (65 nucleotides) under Pisione sp. YZ-2018. Its description in RNAcentral is "tRNA-Asp". The record is from RNAcentral. Lineage: Eukaryota; Metazoa; Annelida; Polychaeta; Phyllodocida; Pisionidae.
GAAGUAUUAGUUAAUUCAUAAUCUAGGAUUGUCAAUCCUAAGUUACUAAUUUUUAGUAUACUUCU